UCCUGGCCGUAAACGAUGGGUACUAAGUGUAGGAGGUAUUGACCCCUUUUGUGCUGUAGCUAACGCGUUAAGUACCCCACCUGGGGAGUACGGCCGCAAGGCUAAAACUCAAGGUAAUUGACGGGGACCCGCACAAGCGGUGGCGCAUGUCGCUCAAUUCGAUGCAACGCGAAGAACCUUAUCCAGGGUUUGACAUCCUUUGACCGCCAUGGAAACAUGGUUUUCCCGUAAGG
This 233-nucleotide ribosomal RNA is filed under the name uncultured bacterium. RNAcentral's name for it is "partial 16S ribosomal RNA". It matches the Rfam family "Bacterial small subunit ribosomal RNA", at positions 794 to 1024 of the family's 1533-position model. The record is from RNAcentral.